GAUGAAGAACGUAGCGAAAUGCGAUAAGUAAUGUGAAUUGCAGAAUUCAGUGAAUCAUCGAAUCUUUGAACGCACCUUGCGCUCUUUGGUAUUCCGAAGAGCAUGCCUGUUUGAGUGUCAUGAAAAUAUCAACCUUGACUUGGGUUUUGUGCUCUAGUCUCGGCUUGGAAUUGGGUGCUUGCCGCUUUUACGAGCGGCUCACCUUAAAUGUAUUAGCUGGAUCUGUCUUUGAGACUUGGUUUGACUUGGCGUAAUAAGUAUUUCGCUAAGGACAUUCUUCGGAGUGGCCUCGUUUCUAGGACGCUUGUCCGCUUUCCAAUACAAGUUCCACCUCGUGGACAUGACUUUUUAUUAUCUGGCCUCAAAUCAGGUAGGACUACCCGCUGAACUUAAGCAUAUCAAUAACGGAGGA
RNAcentral lists this unclassified non-coding RNA (412 nucleotides) under soil metagenome. RNAcentral's name for it is "partial contains 5.8S ribosomal RNA, internal transcribed spacer 2, and large subunit ribosomal RNA". The stretch from base 1 to 120 matches the Rfam family "5.8S ribosomal RNA", at positions 35 to 154 of the family's 154-position model. The record is from RNAcentral.